UGUAAAUGUUAAUUUUUACCAGAGUAGUAUUAGUUAUGAUCUUGAAAUUUAAAAAUUUUGGCGGUAUUUUAGUCUAUUCAGAGGAACCUGUUCUAUAAUUGAUAGUCCACGAUAAAUUAUACUUUAUUUAAUAAUUUAUAUAUCGUCGUUAUUAAAUAUUUUAUAAGAAUUAUAAUAUUUAAGAUUUUUAAUUAAAAAAUAUAUCAGAUCAAGGUGUAGUUUAUAAUAAAGAAGAAAUGGGUUACAAUAAAAUUAUUUUUGAAUUUGUAUAUAAAAAUAUAUGAUGAAAUUGGAUUUGAUAGUAAUAAAUUUUAUAUUUAAUUUAUGAUUUUAGCUCUAAAAU
This 343-nucleotide ribosomal RNA is filed under the name Hydrocolus paugus. RNAcentral's name for it is "partial 12S ribosomal RNA". The record is from RNAcentral. Lineage: Eukaryota; Metazoa; Arthropoda; Insecta; Coleoptera; Dytiscidae.